Long non-coding RNA from Neofelis nebulosa (Clouded leopard), 845 nucleotides. RefSeq lists it as uncharacterized. NCBI's taxonomy places the organism in Eukaryota, Metazoa, Chordata, Mammalia, Carnivora, Felidae. The transcript is spliced from 4 exons. The record is from RefSeq and is a predicted model, not a curated record.
UCCCCCACAAUGACCCUGAACAUUCUGCCAACUACUUCCUUAUCAAGUGAGCCCUGGGAGGGCCAGCCCACCCCAAAUGACGGCCAAUCAAUUUCACAGAAUGUCUGGAGCUUUCCAGGAGUUAAUUUCACCCCAUAUACCCCUUUUUGAAAUUCUUCAACAUAUACUCUACGGGAAUGGAUUUACUCUUCUUUCCACCCAUUUUCUCCCCCUAACAGACAACUUUAAGGCACACGCGGGGAAAACAAGGAAGGAGGGGGACUAAUUUGGAGAGGACGCACACUCGCUUUGUCCGCUUCCGGCCGCUCCCCUCCCGGAGAUAUUUCAGGCGCCUCUUAGCCCUGGCGGGUUCAGUUUCAACCCCUGACCCGGAUGAGACUCCCGAGGAAGUCUGACACUGCCUUAAGCUGUAUGAGGUUGCCCCCGAACCGAGGAUCAGGACUCAACACUCUAGUCAGGGAAGGACACAACAUGGACUUGAAAUGCUUUUUGAAUGUUGCCAAUACUUUGCUACAAAAAGGAAGCCAUCAUCCUUGGAUUGUGUGUUAACUUCAGAUAACUGCAGCCCAGAAGAGGGGUCCUGUAGCAGGCAUUGGCAGCACCAGGAUUAACUUCUGUGGUAAUAGGGAUGAACUUGUUCCUGAUCAAUCUCAAAAAUUUGAUGAGGUCUUCAUAAAACAUGACUGGCAAGUAAAUUUAGAAUUGCUGGUAAUAGCAUAUAUAUAAAAAGGAUUUAUUGUAUGCCAGGUUCUUUUUUAAGCAUUUUAUACAUAGUAACUUAUUUAAUCCUUACCAUACCUCUGUGAGGCUGGUAUUAUUAUUAUCUUCGUUUUACAGAUGAAGAA